UCGGAUUUAAAUGUUGCUUCUAUUUUUGAUGUUGAUUUUCCAUUGAAUGGCAGCUGAUUUGAUCCAUCCUCUGACAGUAAAUGAACUGAAUUUUGUGACUUAUGAACUGUCUUAGUAAAUUAUUCCUACUUGAAGUGAGAAGAUGGAGCUAAAGAAGAGAGGAAUAUUUUCGUCAUGGUUGGAGUGAUUAAUUCAAAACAGACCUUGUUCUGGUUGUCAUGAACUAAUGCAAGAAAGGAGAUGGGGCUUCCCUCAGUCUUUUCAAUAUUCAAAUGCCCAUCUUUGUUCUCAAAUACCUCAUGCUAUUUGUACAUUGUGCUUGAGGAACUCCAUGGCUUCAGCCAAGAAUCUCUUGGAUUGAAAGAAGGCAGUAGAAGUGCUGAAUCAAUGUCAGUCUGAUGUAAUGAACUGGAUGAGGCUCAAACUAUGGAAGAGAGAAGUGCUGUUAAAGGAUGGUUUAUCCAUCCACGAAUAUGCCACAUCAUGCAAAAAUAUAUCAAAAAUAUAAGAAACAGAUGGUAAAAUCUAAGAGUUUCCAUUUCCCAAGUUGGUAAGCAUUGCAGCAGCUGCCAGAAAGAAGAAAGACUGAAGCAAGAAGUUCUAAAGGUCAGGAACAUGGCUUCAGGUUGAAUUCCUGAUGAAAAUAGAAAACUGAAUUAGAGAACACAGAAGAAUCCAUAUCUACGCCAACAAGAACAUUCUUGAAAUAAUUCAACAUCAAGAGAGACUGCACAAUUCAUCCCAUGGCAUGAUUCAACUACCCUUUCAUCAAGAUCCUAGCCAGGGCUGAGAGAAAGUGACCGACCCAAGAUCACCAACCUGGCUUUGUUUCUAGACUAGUGCCUUAACCACUACACCAAACAACUUGGUAUUCCACUGCAAUAGAGAAGGCGGGAAUUAUCACACUUCCUCUUUCAGCAAGACAAUGAAUUCAGCAAUUUAAAGAGCAACAGCUAGUUAUGCAUCUUGUUAUGAAUAAGCAAAUAUAUUUACCUGCACACUAAGCCCAAACUUUGCCUCAGUGGGAUGGUGUGAACAUCAGCAAGAACCUCUGCCUUGAUCUUCUGGAGGAAAAAAAAUCUAUCAAAUAAAACUCAUACAGCAUAUUGUUAGCGUGUUGUUAGAGAAUCAGGAGUAUUGGUGGGGAACAUUUAGUCAGUGGAGAGACUGGCAAAUUUUCAAAGGUGAGGGAUGCAUUCAAAGAAUUGCCUGGAGCAGGGCUGAGAUCUGAAGAACCAAGAGGGGAACUAGACUGGAACAGAUGAGCUGGGAUGGAGAAGAUCAAACCCAGAAGGGUGAAUCAACCAAUCAAGCAGAAUAACCUGAGAAUAUUACUCAUGAUCUUGCUGUUGCCUUGGUCAGAUUUCAGGGAGGAAUGCCCUCCCCACCCCUUGCAGAAAUUCCACUGAGUUCUCUUUGUCUUUUUGCCUUCCAGUCAUUUUUGACUUCUGGUGACUGCCUGGACAGGUCCCCGAAGUUUUUUUGGCAAGAUUUCAGAAAUGUUUUGCCAUUGCUUGCUUCCUAAGGCUGACAGGGAAUUAUUAGCCAAAGAUACCCCCAGCUGGCUUUUCACUCAAGGCAGGAUUAAAACUCAUGGUCUCCUGGCGCCUUAACCACCAGAGUAAUCUGACUCUCUACAUUGUAUAGUGCCAUUUGGGCCAUUUAAAGUCAUUCUUGUAUUAGAGUGAUAUUGUUGGUAUAUUUGCAUGGUUAUUUCAUCAACACAAAUAGUAAAUGUGUUCUUAUUUGUUCACAAUUAGAACAUUUUAUUUAAUGCUCCAGGAGAAAAAAAUAGAAACCAAUCCCUUGACACCCGACACCCGCCCCCCCCCCAAAAAAAAAAUAAGUAGCAGAUUUGUUUAAAAUAAAUUGCAAAAAAGCUGGAGAUGGACUUGGAAUAUCCUGACGGAACCAGCUUGUUAAAUUCAGUCACUGUUUUUUUACUAUAAACAUGAAAUCAAGAUACACUGAUGUAGGCUUUCAUGACCAGUAUGUGUUGAACUUCAGUUUUGUGACUGUGGUCUAGAGAACAGAUUUCCUGAAGUUUUACUAGCAACUGUGGCUGGCAUUUUCAGAGGCAAGGUGAUCAGGCCCAUUGGGAAUGUGCAACGGGAAGAAAAGCACUUUCAGGCGGCAGCGCUGCAAUCCCCUCCCCGAAUUCAAAAUCGUUACCAGUUCCCCGCUGCAUAUUGGCCGCCCACUGCCUGAAACACAGCUCUGAUUAUUGUGUUGGGGAAUCUGGGCAGCGGUGGCUGGAAAGGAGGGGCAUUUUUCUUUAGGAGCUCUCGUUCGGCUCGCUCGGCUCCUGGGCGCAGAGGGCUUAGGCAGCAGCUCCUCACAUUGCAGGAGAGUGAAGUCAUUGCGGCCAUUGCCUGCCCUAAGCUGCCUGCUGGACGGCCAGAGGGGUGACCAGCUCUGGGGUGACCAACUUCCUUAUUCCCCGAAGCUGCUGGGCAGAUUCCCCCCGCAGACCAUCCCGAAGACGGUUGUUCCUCAGGCUGUGCUCCGACCCAGAUCCCUGAUGCUUGGAACUGCCCAAAAAUGGCCGAAGGGUGGGGGCCAGUGGGUGGGCGGGGCUACAUUUAGCAUAUAAGACGCACCCAGAUUUUCACCCCCUUUUUGGGGGUAAAAAGGUGCAUUUUAUACACCGAAAAAUACGGUACUUCAUGCAAAACCAAGCUUAGGCCUAUCUGUAACCACUGAAUUCUGUAGAAAGUUAGCACCCACCCUACUCCUAGAAGAAUGAAAUAUUAAAAAGGCAGAAUGUUAUAUUUCCCUGGAUAAGAAACCGAGAAACAUGCUUUUUUAGAAGCAGAAAGCAUCCUCCACCUUUCUUAAUAGCCCCCAGCAGAUAUUUUGUGCCCAUUAAAGUCUGGGCCAUCCUAUCUACAAAACAAAAGACCUUCAACUCCAGGAUGAUGGGAUUAAGGGUUCCCUCCAGGACAUAAUAGGAUUAACCCACUAGCAGCAGAGCUCACCACAUUGCACAAUCUCCUAAGGACAUUGCAUCACCCAGCAAACUUCAACCAAACCUGGGACAACCUACAGAGCUAGCUAUGACCCGUACAGCAGCCAGUAGAAUACAUGUUUUCGUACAGGAACAGGAAGUCCAAUGCAAAGCCCAAGAGAAGGUAUAAAUACCUCUCACUCUCAAUUCUAUGUGUUCAGCUAUCCAAAAUCACAUGUGCUUGGUGGUUCUGCUUCGCCAUUAAACCAUCUUUCCAAUCAGCCUCCAUGUUUCCAAUGUCUUUCUCUCGGCUUGGAACUGAACCAGAUGGAUAUUUCUUCCAACAGUUCAAUAUACAAAAUUGCUUCAACACUUGUAUUUGGAAUAAGAAAAGGGUAAUGAAAUUAUUUAUUUCAACUGCAUUCUUCAUCUAAUGGGGGGAAAAGCCAUAUUUGGUGUCAAGAACUGAUACAACUUGCUUGCAGUAUCCCCCUUUGCAUCUAUCAGAUUUCUUUAAUUUCAGACAGGAUUCUAAGAAGCUCUCUUUAUAUUUCAAGAAACAUAUUUCUUUGCAUGCCGUGCAAGACAUUCUUCUCUUUCUUGAGCUAAUGUUUGGUUUUAUGUUCCCUCUGGGUUUCAUUACACAGUCAGUUGUAUGUACGAAAUCAAUCAUUUGAAAAACAAAACAUGUUUUUGGAUGCAGGAUGAAAUGUAAAAGGGAACAAUAAUUUGGUCUAAGUUCAGAAAAGGAUGGUAUUUUUGGAUGGUAGUUAUGUGCACAUAUAUUUAAAUUCAGUAAUUAUUUAUACCUCUAGUGGAUGUGGAUGUUCUUUGUGCAGGUUUCUUUGAAUAACAAUGAGAUCCCUGAUCUCUGAAGUUAGGAUGGAAACAGCAAUGCAUUGCAGACAGAUGGUCAACUGGUAUUUUCAAGGAGUACUUUCAAGCAUCACUGCGGUUCAUUGAAUUUCACAAAUAUUUGGGAUUCCCGGGGUCAAGUUGUCAGAGAGCGGUACAGAAUUUAGAUUCCAUCUAAAUCUGAGAGAAAGAGAGAAACAUCCAGAGAAUGAAGUGUGUUCUGUGUGUCAUUAUUGUGAGACUGCCAUUUGGGCUUAACCCAUCUGUUUUCCACAAACGUGGGGUGCUUUCAGUGCCCCACAUCAAUGCCAUCAGUUUCCUGGAGAAAAAAGUCUUGAUAUUAAUAUGAUAGAUUUUUUUAUCCAACUUGAAUUGAGUCAUUAGUUUAUCAUUUGGCCUUGAUGUAUGCAAAGUGUAUUUGCAGUGAAAUAAACAAAAUCAAUAUUCAACUAGGGCUGAAAAUA
Molecule: non-coding RNA, 4266 nt
Organism: Pantherophis guttatus
Lineage: Eukaryota; Metazoa; Chordata; Lepidosauria; Squamata; Colubridae
Source: RefSeq, a predicted model, not a curated record